Molecule: long non-coding RNA, 1295 nt
Organism: Rosa chinensis
Lineage: Eukaryota; Viridiplantae; Streptophyta; Magnoliopsida; Rosales; Rosaceae
Exons: 6
Source: RefSeq, a predicted model, not a curated record
CCAUCUGAAAGUGUUCCCUCCUUAGCUACUCCCUUCCAAAUCGUUCUCAGCCUCUCUCUCACUCACCAUCGUUCUCAGCCUCUCUCUCACUCACCAUGGUUCUCAGCCUCUCUCUUACUCCCCAUCGCUCUCAGCCUCAAUCCUACUCACCCUUGUCAAGCCUCUCAGCCUCACUCUCACUCAACCUCGUCUCUCUCCGUCGCGCGCGCCUUCAGUCUCUCCACCACGGGUUCUCUCUCCGUCAGUCUCCCUCAGUCGCGACUCCAUAUCUCUCUCUCUCUCCCCCUCCCCCUUAAGGAUCCACGGGUUCACUCUUCAGCCUCCAUCUCUCUCUUCUUAUUUUGUGACACGGGUUGGGUGCACCGGCGUUGUGUUUUUGGUUGAGGAGAAAGAUGAAGGACUCAGAUUGUAAUUUUUAAUAAUAAAAUUCAGUGAUUGCAGGAACUUCCGGGCACAAUCACUAGCUAAUGCACAUGCAGCUUUCUAAUUGGACUUUCUAAUGACAGGUUGAUGUACUUUCCAAGGGGACUAAUUUUAAUUGUAUUGGUGAUUGGGUUGUGGAGGCCACUGUAAAGUAAGAUUAGUUUGCACGCACAUUUUCUUCUACUUAUUUAUAUAUUAUCUAUCUAAAAGAGUUUCCCUUGGUGCUUGUUUGUUUGCAAUGUUAUGAGCAUUCACCUGACGAGUGCAAAGUCUUUGGUUGGAGUAGUUGGAGUUGCACAAAAGGAAAAGAAGGGGCGGGAUGUGUAUGUUAUGGUGAGCUUCUUGAUGGGAAUUCUGGAAGUUUACUUAGUACUGAGCAGCAAAUCCAUGCUCCAGCUAAUUUAAUAAAGGGCACACACCAAAUGCUUUCACAAGCAAUAUAGUGCUUUUAACAGAUUACACAGUUUUGCUUUUCUAGGCCAUGCAAAUACUGAAAGGCACUUUACAUUGUAUCUUCAUCAAGAUUGGGUAUCAAGGUGGGCUUUGCUUAAAAAUUAGGAUCAAGAAGGUUGGUAUGCGGAGAUAAUAAUAAAGGCAUACGGAGAAAGCUUGCCUUGACCACACUGCUGGCUUAGUUGCUGUGCGUAAAUAGUACUAUCGUAUCUAGUAGUUGGUGACUUAUUUUGGUAACCUCCUUGAUUGUAGAAGAUAGACAAUAUUACUUGCUAUAUUGAGGUUACUUUUGGUUAGGAUUGCUGGAUUUGAUCAUAUCUGGAUAUGGAUAUGUACUUUUGGAAAUGUUUUGGAUUGGUAAUGUAAGAACAGAUGGCAUUGAUAUAUGACAAUGUUAUAUUUUGGAUUUGUUCAGGAUA